RNAcentral lists this ribosomal RNA (271 nucleotides) under uncultured archaeon. Its description in RNAcentral is "partial 16S ribosomal RNA". It matches the Rfam family "Archaeal small subunit ribosomal RNA", at positions 477 to 747 of the family's 1478-position model. The record is from RNAcentral.
CAGCGCCACAAGUGGCAAUCACGUUUAUUGGGCCUAAAGCGUCCGUAGCCGGUUUAGCAAAUCUUUUGUGAAAUCGUCAGGCUUAACUUGACGAAUUGCAGAAGACACUACUAAACUAGGGACUGGGAGGAGUCAGAAGUAUUCUGGGGGGACCGGUAAAAUGGUAUAAUCCCCAGAGGACUACCGAUGGCGAAGGCAUCUGACCAGAACAGAUCCGACGGUGAGGGACGAAAGCCAGGGGAGCAAACCGGAUUAGAUGCCCGAGUAGUCC